GACGAACGCUGGCGGCGUGCCUAAUACAUGCAAGUCGAACGAAGCUGUUUUAACUGGUGCUUGCACCGACUUAAACAACUGAGUGGCGAACGGGUGAGUAACACGUGGGUAACCUGCCCCAAAGCGGGGGAUAACAUUUGGAAACAGAUGCUAAUACCGCAUAAUCACAGAAACCACAUGGUUUCUGUGUCAAAGAUGGUUUCGGCUAUCACUUUGGGAUGGACCCGCGGCGUAUUAGCUAGUUGGUAAGGUAAUGGCUUAACAAGGCAAUGAUACGUAGCCGAACUGAGAGGUUGAUCGGCCACAUUGGGACUGAGACACGGCCCAGACUCCUACGGGAGGCAGCAGUAGGGAAUCUUCCACAAUGGACGAAAGUCUGAUGGAGCAACGCCGCGUGAGUGAAGGAGGUUUUCGGAUCGUAAAACUCUGUUGUCAGGGAAGAACGUGUGCGAGAGUAACUGUUCGUGCAGUGACGGUAUCUGGCCAGAAAGCCACGGCUAACUACGUGCCAGCCGCCGCCGUAA
RNAcentral lists this ribosomal RNA (524 nucleotides) under uncultured bacterium. RNAcentral describes it as "partial 16S ribosomal RNA". It matches the Rfam family "Bacterial small subunit ribosomal RNA", at positions 28 to 523 of the family's 1533-position model. The record is from RNAcentral.